UACGUAGGUGGCAAGCGUUGUCCGGAAUUAUUGGGCGUAAAGCGCGCGCAGGCGGUCCUUUAAGUCUGAUGUGAAAGCCCACGGCUCAACCGUGGAGGGUCAUUGGAAACUGGGGGACUUGAGUGCAGGAGAGAAGAGUGGAAUUCCACGUGUAGCGGUGAAAUGCGUAGAGAUGUGGAGGAACACCAGUGGCGAAGGCGGCAUCCUGGACCGACACUGACACUGAGGAGCGAAAGCCAGGGGAGCAAACGGG
Molecule: ribosomal RNA, 253 nt
Filed under: uncultured bacterium
Lineage: Bacteria
Description: partial 16S ribosomal RNA
Rfam family: Bacterial small subunit ribosomal RNA
Source: RNAcentral